Molecule: long non-coding RNA, 791 nt
Organism: Esox lucius (northern pike)
Lineage: Eukaryota; Metazoa; Chordata; Actinopteri; Esociformes; Esocidae
Source: Ensembl
AGACAGUCAGCUUUUGGGAAGAACAUUUGUUAGACCUGCUGUUACGAGAGACUACUGCAGUACAUUGUUUACCUCAUUCACAAGUGAUACCAACGAAGAUCUUAAUCAUAAAUCGAGUAACAGCAAGUGACAGUGAUGAGCCGACUCUGCAAAAACCUUGUGUGAUGCAAGUAAAUGAUUUACGGAUUUGGUCCAGCAGGAUUCCUGCAUGAAUUGUCAUGGUUGUGCAGGAUGCAUACAUAUACAGAAGUCAUACACAAGCAGGGGCAUCAGGGAGAUUUCCUGCAGGACACCUGCACAGAUGGAAUUCUUUCAGGAUUCCUGUGGGACUUUUUUAUAAUUGUGAAUAUAAUGGAUGGUCCAGAAAUUUCAGAAUCAGCAGGGAAUGGUCUAGCCUCACCAUCAAGAUCUUCCAUAGAAAACUGUAGAGAACAGGGGAAGGCAUUUAUUGUUCAUGUUUUGGUUAUUUAAUGCAAAGAAUACCAUUUGUUCCUGUUUUAAGAAUAAUCAAUAGAUUGGAAAAUCUAUUUUGAAAUAAUCAAGCUGUGCUGGCAUUUCUGUGAUGCUUCUAAAUUGAUUUAGAAUUAAAUGGAAUAAAAACUUUGAUUUAGAUUUUCUCCCUUAUUGCAUUUUUUCAUUUUUCUGUGUAACUUGGAUUCUGAUAAAGAUACCUAAAUGAUUUAAACUGAUUUGUAUUCAUGAUAGUUUGUAGUUUUCAGAAAUGUAUACUGUCUGUAAAGUAAAACGUUCCCACAAGGCUAUUACUUCCCGGUUAACACUAACAGUCAACA